CUGGUUGAUCCUGCCUGAACUGAUGUGUUCAUUUCAAAGAUUAAGCCAUGCAUGUAUAAGUAUAAACGACUUGAUCGUGAAACCGCGAACGGCUCAUUAUAACAGCUAUAAUUUACUUGAUCUUGACAAUUUACUUGGAUAACUGUGGUAAUUCUAGAGCUAAUACAUGCACCAAAGCUCCGACCGUAAGGAAAGAGCGCAUUUAUUAGAACAAAACCAAGCGGCUUCGGCCGUUCAAUGUUGAAUCAUAAUAACUAAGCUGAUCGCAUGGUCUUGUACCGGCGACGUGUCUUUCAAGUACCUGCCUUAUCAACUUUCGAUGGUAGUGUAUCUGACUACCAUGGUUGUGACGGGUAACGGAGGAUAAGGGUUCGACUCCGGAGAAGGGGCCUGAGAAAUGGCCACUACGUCUAAGGAUGGCAGCAGGCGCGCAAAUUACCCACUCUCAGAACGAGGAGGUAGUGACGAGAAAUAACAAGACCGUUCUCUUCAGAGGCCGGUCAUUGGAAUGGGUACAAUUUAAACCCUUUAACGAGUAUCUAUGAGAGGGCAAGUCUGGUGCCAGCAGCCGCGGUAAUUCCAGCUCUCAAAAUGCAUAGAAUCAUUGCUGCGGUUAAAAAGCUCGUAGUUGGAUCUGUGCUGGCGGGUCGGUCCACCUUCGGGUGCGCACUGAUUUCGCCGGCUUUCCUGCUGUAUUUGGCCCUGUGCCUUUCAACGGGUGCAGUGUCCAGUGCAGCAAGUUUACCUUGAACAAAUCAGAGUGCUUCAAACAGGCGUUUCGCUUGAAUGUUCGUGCAUGGAAUAAUAGAAGAGGAUUUCGGUUCUAUUUUAUUGGUUUUAUAGACUGAGAUAAUGGUUAACAGAGACUAACGGGGGCAUUAGUAUUGCUACGUGAGAGGUGAAAUUCUUGGACCGUAGCAAGACUGACUACAGCGAAAGCAUUUGCCAAGAAAGUCUUCAUUAAUCAAGAACGAAAGUCAGAGGUUCGAAGGCGAUCAGAUACCGCCCUAGUUCUGACCGUAAACGAUGCCAACUAGUGAUCCGCCGGUGGAACAUUCGCCCUGGUGGGGAACUUCCCGGAAACGAAAGUCUUCCGGUUCCGGGGGAAGUAUGGUUGCAAAGCUGAAACUUAAAGGAAUUGACGGAAGGGCACCACCAGGAGUGGAGCCUGCGGCUUAAUUUGACCCAACACGGGAAAACUCACCCGGCCCGGACACCGUAAGGAUUGACAGAUUGAUAGCUCUUUCAUGAUUCGGUGGAUGGUGGUGCAUGGCCGUUCUUAGUUCGUGGAGCGAUUUGUCUGGUUUAUUCCGAUAACGAGCGAGACUCUGGCCUACUAAAUAGUUUACACAUUGGU
Molecule: ribosomal RNA, 1357 nt
Filed under: metagenome
Description: SSU rRNA
Rfam family: Eukaryotic small subunit ribosomal RNA
Source: RNAcentral